AAGGAAGGCAUCGCUGCUGGAGGUGUGAUGGCCAUUAAUGCCACUUUAUGGAGGUGCUGGAGACCUCCUCCUCCACAACCUAGCACGUGGAAUUCGCAAAACUGCCAAAGGUGGAGCCAAGCACCAAGCUCACCUUCCUGUGCUUGCACCCAAAUGCAACGAGCCACUCAUGCCAGCUGGGGGAGGCCCUUUGUGUAGAACACUAAGUCUACCUCUUUAGGGUUGAUGACAACAAGAAACCCAGGAACGGACAGGCCUCUCAGACUGACAAUCAGAGAACGCCCGUCAGGCGGGGCUGCAGCUGUGUGGUAGUUAAGGACUAUGGCAAAGAAUCUCAGGGCAAGGAUGUCAUCAAAGAGAACUUCAAAUGCAAGAAAUGA
Molecule: long non-coding RNA, 380 nt
Filed under: Homo sapiens (human)
Lineage: Eukaryota; Metazoa; Chordata; Mammalia; Primates; Hominidae
Description: non-protein coding lnc-ATG16L2-10:1
Source: RNAcentral